RNAcentral lists this ribosomal RNA (775 nucleotides) under uncultured Neocallimastigales. Its description in RNAcentral is "partial large subunit ribosomal RNA". It matches the Rfam family "Eukaryotic large subunit ribosomal RNA", at positions 22 to 641 of the family's 3401-position model. Lineage: Eukaryota; Fungi; Neocallimastigomycota; Neocallimastigomycetes; Neocallimastigales. The record is from RNAcentral.
GUACACGCUGUGACUAGCAUAUCAAUAAGGGAGGAAAAGAAACUAACAAGGAUUCCCCUAGUAACGGCGAGUGAAGCGGGAAGAGCUCAAAUUUGAAAUCUUAAAGGGUUUCCCUUUACGAAUUGUAGUUUAAAGAAGUGUUUUCUGUUGAGGUUUUGGUAAAAGUUCUUUGGAAUAGGACAUCAUAGAGGGUGAGAAUCCCGUAUUUGACCUUUACUUUCAACUUUGUGAUACACUUUCAAAGAGUCGGAUUGUUUGGGAAUGCAGUCCAAAAUGGGUGGUAAAUUUCAUCUAAAGCUAAAUAUUGGCGAGAGACCGAUAGCGAACAAGUACCGUGAGGGAAAGAUGAAAGGAACUUUGAAAAGAGAGUUAAACAGUACGUGAAACUUGUCAAAAGGGAAGCGUUUGACACCAGUGUUGCUUUUCUGAAAAUCAAUUAAAGAACUGUUUAUGCUAAGCUGUUUAGACUUUAUCAGCUAUCUGUUUAGUUUUGAGCUUUUCUUUGAUGCACUUUUCAGUUAACAAGUCAACAUCAAUUUCUUUUGCUGUGAAAAAAGCUUGAGGAAGGUGGCUUGAGAUUCGUCUUAAGUGUUUAUAGCCUCUUGCCUAUGCAGUCGGAGAGAUUGAGGUCUGCAGCGUAGAUCCUUCGGGGCUAAAUGCAUUUGUGCUAAGUUAUAGCAUUUUAUAGACAACUUGUUGACUAUGAUUUGUCUUGUAGCUUACUCGCUUAUGUUAUUUUACCUACGCUUAGGAUGUUGAUAUGCAUGACUGAUAU